AGAGUGCCCACUUGGACACUUAUAAUUUAGUCCCCCCUCCCUUCAUAGUUAAGAAUAUAAAAACAAAAACCAACAAAAAAACUGUAAAAGAAGCAUAAACAUACCUGGGAUCAAGCACCAGGCGAAGUUGUCAUCGGUGGUUUCCAUGCCUGUCUGAUGUCACCGCUUCCCUCGCAAGGUCCAAUCAAAUGCAUCUUACAGAGAAGCAUUUGAUUGGACUGUUCUCACUGGGAUCACAUCACCAUUGAGGAGAGAGGGAGUGGGGGAUAUUAUAAUUAAAUUAAUAAAUAAACAAUAGACAAAUAUUAAGCAACGCAAGAAUGCUGAAAUAAGGGAGGGAGAGGACAUUGAAGCGUCCCCUUGCAUGUACGGUUCCCGAUUACAUCUGUUGCCAUUGCAUGAAAUUAACACUUGACAGCCCAGGACAAUAUCAGGCUACCUAAGUAAUAUGUGCCAAGGAUGUAACUAGUCACCAGUGAUGGUGGUUGGAGUAAC
Molecule: non-coding RNA, 495 nt
Organism: Pelobates cultripes (western spadefoot toad)
Lineage: Eukaryota; Metazoa; Chordata; Amphibia; Anura; Pelobatidae
Source: the annotation of a GenBank genome assembly